Long non-coding RNA from Rhagoletis zephyria (snowberry fruit fly), 390 nucleotides. RefSeq lists it as uncharacterized. Lineage: Eukaryota; Metazoa; Arthropoda; Insecta; Diptera; Tephritidae. The record is from RefSeq and is a predicted model, not a curated record.
UUCGACGCCACAGCGAAGUGUGUGUUGUAAGGCAAUUUGAGCAGGACAAACCGACACGACGGGAGGCACUCUAAAUUGUAAAAAAGAAGCGAGAACGUUCACGCAACUACAACUACAUAUGUAUAUGUGUGUAUGUAUGCAUGUAUGUACAACGGCAAACGAUGGUGAUGGCGAAUGGCGGCACAGGCAAAAGCGAAGGCGGAUUUCUAUAAGAUUUCUUUUUUUAAUAAUAAAUAUUUUAUUUUUUUUUACAAGAAGUUUAAGCUGCUUGCAAGUGCGGAAAGUAAGCAUGUAUGUAAGCUGUUUUAUUAAGGGACGAUUCAUGCCGUUCGUUUUAUUAUAAAGACCGCACGCAUUGCACAAAUAAUGUCCGGUAUUAUCACGGCGCCA